RNAcentral lists this ribosomal RNA (433 nucleotides) under uncultured bacterium. RNAcentral describes it as "partial 16S ribosomal RNA". It matches the Rfam family "Bacterial small subunit ribosomal RNA", at positions 29 to 507 of the family's 1533-position model. The record is from RNAcentral.
AACGAACGCUGGCGGCAUGCCUAACACAUGCAAGUCGAACGAAGGCUUCGGCCUUAGUGGCGCACGGGUGCGUAACGCGUGGGAAUCUGCCCUUUGGUUCGGAAUAACAGCUGGAAACGGCUGCUAAUACCGGAUGAUGACGAAAGUCCAAAGAUUUAUCGCCAGAGGAUGAGCCCGCGUUGGAUUAGGUAGCUGGUGGGGUAAAGGCCUACCAAGCCGACGAUCCAUAGCUGGUCUGAGAGGAUGAUCAGCCACACUGGGACUGAGACACGGCCCAGACUCCUACGGGAGGCAGCAGUGGGGAAUAUUGGACAAUGGGCGCAAGCCUGAUCCAGCAAUGCCGCGUGAGUGAUGAAGGCCCUAGGGUUGUAAAGCUCUUUUACCCGGGAAGAUAAUGACUGUACCGGGAGAAUAAGCCCCGGCUAACUCCGUG